GCCGGGGUGUUGAAAUGGCAGACAAGCACGCUUCAGAAGCGUGUGGCCUGUAAGGGCCGUGGAGGUUCAAGUCCUCUCCCCGGCACUA
RNAcentral lists this transfer RNA (88 nucleotides) under Candidatus Roizmanbacteria bacterium RIFOXYA1_FULL_37_12. RNAcentral describes it as "tRNA-Leu". It matches the Rfam family "tRNA". From Rfam's summary of the family: Transfer RNA (tRNA) molecules are approximately 80 nucleotides in length. Their secondary structure includes four short double-helical elements and three loops (D, anti-codon, and T loops). Further hydrogen bonds mediate the characteristic L-shaped molecular structure. tRNAs have two regions of fundamental functional importance: the anti-codon, which is responsible for specific mRNA codon recognition, and the 3' end, to which the tRNAs corresponding amino acid is attached (by aminoacyl-tRNA synthetases). tRNAs cope with the degeneracy of the genetic code in two manners: having more than one tRNA (with a specific anti-codon) for a particular amino acid; and 'wobble' base-pairing, i.e. permitting non-standard base-pairing at the 3rd anti-codon position. Lineage: Bacteria; Candidatus Roizmaniibacteriota. The record is from RNAcentral. RNAcentral also lists the same sequence under 6 other names.